Molecule: long non-coding RNA, 1907 nt
Organism: Cynara cardunculus var. scolymus (artichoke)
Lineage: Eukaryota; Viridiplantae; Streptophyta; Magnoliopsida; Asterales; Asteraceae
Exons: 3
Source: RefSeq, a predicted model, not a curated record
UACACCGCACACCAUCUUCAUCUUCAUCUUACUGCUCUUACACCGCACACCAUUCAAGCGGUGUUCUUAUAAACCGCUCACUGCUUAAUCGGAUUCCUUGAACGGAGAAGUACACCGGACGAUUGCAGGUAAACCGGAGACUCCUUGUCCGGUGUUCAUAUAAACCGAUCAUCUCUUGAUCGGAUUGUUCUCCGGUAAGGUUUAUUUGUUGAGCGGUACAUCCUUUCACUGGACAUAUUUCAACCGGUGUUCAUCUACACCGCACAUCACUUGACCGGAUUAGGAUUCUGAUUCAUUCAGUAGGUAAGCUAUCACAAGCGGUUUAUGACUUAGAAUUUGUGCUUCGAAGUUUUUGAGCGGAUUUCUAAUCCGCUUGAUUUUUUUUUAAGAUUUCAAUUUCAAGUUAGGUGAGCGAUUUAACUUCUGAGUUGAGCGAUUUCAGACUUUGUUUCACUGUAAAUAGCAAAAAGGAGCAGCAGCAACAAUUUUUUUUGUUCUGUUUUGAUUUGAAAAAGUAAGUUCUACAGCAGCUUCAUUAUGUGACUGUGUUUUCUGUUACACCGCACACAACACAGCACAAAACAGCACAAAAACUGUGUGCAGUUGCAAACUGUUUAGCUUCACAGAGAAGUAAGAACAGUUUCUGUUUUGGUAACAGCAACAGGGCACAGCAGCAGCAACAUAUUUGUGUUGUGUUUGAUUUGUUGAUUUCAGUUUCAUAGAACAGCAAAACAGCACAGUCAACAGGUCGUUGAAACAGCAACUAUUUUGACAGCUUCAUUUUAUGUGUUUAGACAGUGACAAAAACAGGUUGAAGAUAAACAGCAGCUAUUGUUUAACAGCAACAGAUUUUACACUAUCUGUUUUGGUUUAAGCACUAGCUGUUCAAACAGAAGAAGAAUUCACAGCAGUUUGUGUUUGGACAGCAAUUGUUAUAUGUGUUGUGUUGGUGUUUAAAACAGCAGUUGGUACAGGUUUGAAACAAUUACAGGUAUUGCAAUUUGAAGCUAUUGUGUACACUUAAAUCUGUUUUUGCGCUGUUAUUGUGUACUCUACUAACUGUUUUAACAGCAACGAGAACAGCAACAGACCUCUGUUUACAAAUUUUUGACAACAACUUCAUUUGACAGCAAGAAGAAGACAGCAGCAAAUUUUUGACAGCAACUUCAUUUGACAGCAAGAAGAAGACAGCAGCAAAUUUUUGACAGCAACUAUAUUUUUGACAGCAACUAUAUUUUGACAGCUUCAUUUCAUUUUGACAGCAACUAUGUUUUGACAGCAAAGAACAGCAGCAACAAAUCUCAAACAGCAACUCAAACAGUAGCUAACAGCAGCUGCUACACAGACAUCAACCAGACAGCAGUGAUGUUUAGGUAAUUGUGUUUAUGCAGAUUUGAAACUGCAAGCAUUGCAAAGUCUUUGAACAGCAGUUUCACUUUGUGGUAAACAACAAGUUUUGAGUCUGGAACAGAAGCUAUAUUGACCGAGUUAGUGUGUUAAACAAGUUGCUGUGUAUUUGUGGUUUUGAGGACUGUUUCUUAUUUGUAACAGCAGCAAAUAUCUUGACUGCACUUAACAGCUUCUUUGUAGCUACACAACUGUUCGAGACAAAGAAGGAAAUUGUUUAGAGACUGAUUCGUGAGCCUCUGUUGUUUGAAGAAGUAGUAACAGGUUCAUAACAGCAGAUUCUGUUUUCAAGUGCUCUAGCUCCAUUGAGAAUCUUAAUUGACUGUAACAGCAAAAAGAAGCAAUAGCUGUGUUGAAACAAAUUAGUUGUUCAUCAAGAAUUGAAACAGAAGCUGAAUUUGACUUGGUUGGUUUAGCAACACACAGUAGUUUUAACUGGUUCCAGUUACACAUAUUAGUAACAGAUUUUUUGAAACAGAUUUGACGUAGUGUGUUUUUGG